This 30-nucleotide non-coding RNA is filed under the name Mus musculus (house mouse). Lineage: Eukaryota; Metazoa; Chordata; Mammalia; Rodentia; Muridae. The record is from RNAcentral.
UAGGGGCUAGCAGAUGUUUCACACUCAGGA